This 428-nucleotide long non-coding RNA is filed under the name Capra hircus (goat). RNAcentral describes it as "lncRNA (ENSCHIG00000001425.1)". The record is from RNAcentral. Lineage: Eukaryota; Metazoa; Chordata; Mammalia; Artiodactyla; Bovidae.
GUUUGGAAGGACAUAUGCCACGGCAAUCAUGUGAUGAAAAUUAAAGUGAAAGUUUUGGGCCCAGAGCCGAAAAAAAAUCUGUGUAUGCGCAUGAGGCUGUUGAUGUGCAAAUGUGAGUCAUAUUGAGAAGGUCUGAAUAGGGAGGUGUGACGUAAAGAGGGGACACAAGGCAGGUGCUUAUCUCUCGGCAGUCAAAGGCACUGGAUGUCAUAUCAUGGGAACUACCUUCCAAAGAAACAGCUUUAGUGUUUCCGUUCAGCACACAAGGGAGGAGAGAAAUAUAAGUUUUGGAAACGAACAAAAAAAGCCCUCAAUUUUGUGAGAUUCCUUGAAAGAUUGUGAAAAGUCCAUUUUACGUGGCCGUGUGCUCAUACCAAGUCUAAGGUAAACAAGUUAAAAAUAUCAAAUGUAUAUUGAUAUAUGUGAUU